UUGUCUUACAUUUAGGUCUUUCAUCCAUUUUGAGUUUAUUUUUGUGUGUGGUGUUAGGAAGUGUUCUAGUUUCACUCUUUUACAUGGAGUUGACCAGUUUUCCCAGCACCCCUCGCUGAAGAGAGAAACGUGAAGAUGUAGAAACAAAGACUAGCUAUUGGGCUGGGGAACUGGUAACAACUUAGAUUAUAAUUCAACCACAUAGCAGAAUCACUGAACUCCUAUUUCUCUGAAAUACAUGAAGGCAUGACACACGUUGCUAAGUUAUUUUUACAAGAAGCAGACCAGCUCCAAAUGAAAACUGCUGACCAUGAGAACAUAGACUCUAGACUGGUUGAAACCGGAAAAUUAAUGAUGCUUGAAAGGUCACCUUGAUGCCAACCAAUCCAAAAAUGUCCAUGAGUUGGUGACACAUUGCUCCUUGAACACUAUAAAACUCCUCACUAUCCCACUCCCGGGUGGGUCACACAGUCUUGAGUGCAUUAGCCCUCUGUGGUCCCCUUUGCCUGGCAGCACAAUAAAAAUUACUCUUUUCUACUUCAGGCAAAACCUGACUCUGUGUUUCUAUUCAGCAACAGAGAACACAGGCAGAGUUUCGGUAACAUUAUCAAUAUUAACUUCUUUUCAUUUCUAUGUUUCAUCUUUUUCAGAUACAAGCAUAACCUAGAAUGUCCACUGCUUCUUUCAGGAAAUGUAUUUUAAAGAAAAUACAUUCUCUCAGCAUUUAAGUGCAGUCAAAUCUAGUUUUGUCUAUCACUCGACAAAAGUGAAUAAAAGCAGCCCUCACCACAUCACUCCUAUCUUUAUUGCUGUACCCAGUGACCUUGCUUCAGUAAAUAACUCCCAUGUCCUCUUGAGCACCAUUUCCUUUUCUUCCUUACUAAAGAAUAGUAGAUUUACAAAAUUAACUUCGAAUGUACAAUAUAGCAGUUCAAAAAUUUUAUACUGUGUAUAUAUAGUUAUAGAUGCAAAGAACAAAUACGUGUUUGCCAGGAAGGAGUGGGGGGAGCAGAGGGAAAGAAAUAGGUGAGGAAGAGUGAGAACCAAAACCUCCAGUUACAAAAUAAAUGAGUUAUAAGUAUCAAACGUGCAGUGCAGGGAAUAUAGUCAAUAACUGUGUAAUAUAUUUGCAAGCUGAUGUGUUGUAACUGGACUUAAUCAUGGUGAUUAGUUUGAAAUCCAUUGUCUUGCAAUUAAAGUAUUAUUCAUGAAAUAGCUUCAUUGUCUUUUUAAACAUUCAUACAAAGCCCAAUCUUCUGUGUGUGUUUGUGGAAAGUGGCCUUCUGACUAAAAAUGUGUGGUUCACUGUGUGAAUCUUUCACUAUCCAAAUUAGUUUAGCUUGACAUUUUCAGUUACUCAGGAAGUUCUGGCCUCCAACGGUUGACUGUAGUCUUAGUUCUCUAAUAAAAGCUGGAGGUAAAAUGCCUGAUAUAAAUAUGGUAGAGAAAGAUGUUUUCCAACUGUGUGAAUUGCAAAACGAGGUAAUGAAGGGGAACUAUUAAGAGAAAGAGAUAUGGUAACCUUUUUUAAGCUCAACAUUCAGAUCAUGGCAUCCGGUCUCAUCACUUCAUG
Molecule: long non-coding RNA, 1573 nt
Organism: Bubalus bubalis (water buffalo)
Lineage: Eukaryota; Metazoa; Chordata; Mammalia; Artiodactyla; Bovidae
Exons: 3
Source: RefSeq, a predicted model, not a curated record